UUAAGCGACUAAGCGUACACGGUGGAUGCCCUGGCAGUCAGAGGCGAUGAAGGACGUGCUAAUCUGCGAAAAGCGUCGGUAAGGUGAUAUGAACCGUUACAGCCGGCGAUGUCCGAAUGGGGAAACCCAGUGCAAUUCGUUGCACUAUCGUUAACUGAAUACAUAGGUUAACGAGGCGAACCGGGGGAACUGAAACAUCUAAGUACCCCGAGGAAAAGAAAUCAACCGAGAUUCCCCCAGUAGCGGCGAGCGAACGGGGAGCAGCCCAGAGUCUGAAUCAGCUUGUGUGUUAGUGGAACGGUCUGGAAAGUCCGACGGUACAGGGUGAUAGUCCCGUACACCAAAAUGCACAGGUUGUGAACUCGAAGAGUAGGGCGGGACACGUGGUAUCCUGUCUGAAUAUGGGGGGACCAUCCUCCAAGGCUAAAUACUCCUGACUGACCGAUAGUGAACCAGUACCGUGAGGGAAAGGCGAAAAGAACCCCGGCGAGGGGAGUGAAAAAGAACCUGAAACCGUGUACGUACAAGCAGUGGGAGCACCUUCGGGUGUGACUGCGUACCUUUUGUAUAAUGGGUCAGCGACUUAUAUUCUGUAGCAAGGUUAACCGUAUAGGGGAGCCGCAGGGAAACCGAGUCUUAACUGGGCGUUAAGUUGCAGGGUAUAGACCCGAAACCCGGUGAUCUAGCCAUGGGCAGGUUGAAGGUUGGGUAACACUAACUGGAGGACCGAACCGACUAAUGUUGAAAAAUUAGCGGAUGACUUGUGGCUGGGGGUGAAAGGCCAAUCAAACCGGGAGAUAGCUGGUUCUCCCCGAAAGCUAUUUAGGUAGCGCCUCGUGAACUCAUCUUCGGGGGUAGAGCACUGUUUCGGCUAGGGGGUCAUCCCGACUUACCAACCCGAUGCAAACUACGAAUACCGAAGAAUGUUAUCACGGGAGACACACGGCGGGUGCUAACGUCCGUCGUGAAGAGGGAAACAACCCAGACCGCCAGCUAAGGUCCCAAAGUCAUGGUUAAGUGGGAAACGAUGUGGGAAGGCACAGACAGCCAGGAUGUUGGCUUAGAAGCAGCCAUCAUUUAAAGAAAGCGUAAUAGCUCACUGGUCGAGUCGGCCUGCGCGGAAGAUGUAACGGGGCUAAACCAUGCACCGAAGCUGCGGCAGCGACACUAUGUGUUGUUGGGUAGGGGAGCGUUCUGUAAGCCUGCGAAGGUGUGCUGUGAGGCAUGCUGGAGGUAUCAGAAGUGCGAAUGCUGACAUAAGUAACGAUAAAGCGGGUGAAAAGCCCGCUCGCCGGAAGACCAAGGGUUCCUGUCCAACGUUAAUCGGGGCAGGGUGAGUCGACCCCUAAGGCGAGGCCGAAAGGCGUAGUCGAUGGGAAACAGGUUAAUAUUCCUGUACUUGGUGUUACUGCGAAGGGGGGACGGAGAAGGCUAUGUUAGCCGGGCGACGGUUGUCCCGGUUUAAGCAUGUAGGCUGGUUGUCCAGGCAAAUCCGGAUAAUCAAGGCUGAGGUGUGAUGACGAGGCACUACGGUGCUGAAGUAACAAAUGCCCUGCUUCCAGGAAAAGCCUCUAAGCAUCAGGUAACAUCAAAUCGUACCCCAAACCGACACAGGUGGUCAGGUAGAGAAUACCAAGGCGCUUGAGAGAACUCGGGUGAAGGAACUAGGCAAAAUGGUGCCGUAACUUCGGGAGAAGGCACGCUGGUGUGUAGGUGAAGUCCCUGCGGAUGGAGCUGAGACCAGUCGAAGAUACCAGCUGGCUGCAACUGUUUAUUAAAAACACAGCACUGUGCAAACACGAAAGUGGACGUAUACGGUGUGACGCCUGCCCGGUGCCGGAAGGUUAAUUGAUGGGGUUAUCCGUAAGGAGAAGCUCUUGAUCGAAGCCCCGGUAAACGGCGGCCGUAACUAUAACGGUCCUAAGGUAGCGAAAUUCCUUGUCGGGUAAGUUCCGACCUGCACGAAUGGCGUAAUGAUGGCCAGGCUGUCUCCACCCGAGACUCAGUGAAAUUGAACUCGCUGUGAAGAUGCAGUGUACCCGCGGCAAGACGGAAAGACCCCGUGAACCUUUACUAUAGCUUGACACUGAACAUUGAGCCUUGAUGUGUAGGAUAGGUGGGAGGCUUUGAAGCGUGGACGCCAGUCUGCGUGGAGCCAACCUUGAAAUACCACCCUUUAAUGUUUGAUGUUCUAACGUUGGCCCCUGACCGGGGUUGCGGACAGUGUCUGGUGGGUAGUUUGACUGGGGCGGUCUCCUCCCAAAGCGUAACGGAGGAGCACGAAGGUUAGCUAAUCCUGGUCGGACAUCAGGAGGUUAGUGCAAUGGCAUAAGCUAGCUUGACUGCGAGCGUGACGGCGCGAGCAGGUGCGAAAGCAGGUCAUAGUGAUCCGGUGGUUCUGAAUGGAAGGGCCAUCGCUCAACGGAUAAAAGGUACUCCGGGGAUAACAGGCUGAUACCGCCCAAGAGUUCAUAUCGACGGCGGUGUUUGGCACCUCGAUGUCGGCUCAUCACAUCCUGGGGCUGAAGUAGGUCCCAAGGGUAUGGCUGUUCGCCAUUUAAAGUGGUACGCGAGCUGGGUUUAGAACGUCGUGAGACAGUUCGGUCCCUAUCUGCCGUGGGCGCUGGAGAAUUGAGGGGGGCUGCUCCUAGUACGAGAGGACCGGAGUGGACGCAUCACUGGUGUUCGGGUUGUCAUGCCAAUGGCACUGCCCGGUAGCUAAAUGCGGAAGAGAUAAGUGCUGAAAGCAUCUAAGCACGAAACUUGCCCCGAGAUGAGUUCUCCCUGAGACUAUAAGUCUCCUGAAGGAACGUUGAAGACGAUGACGUUGAUAGGCCGGGUGUGUAAGCGCAGCGAUGCGUUGAGCUAACCGGUACUAAUGAACCGUGAGGCUUAACCUU
This 2900-nucleotide ribosomal RNA is filed under the name Klebsiella pneumoniae. Its description in RNAcentral is "bacterial LSU rRNA". It matches the Rfam family "Bacterial large subunit ribosomal RNA". Lineage: Bacteria; Pseudomonadati; Pseudomonadota; Gammaproteobacteria; Enterobacterales; Enterobacteriaceae. The record is from RNAcentral.